AGCGAACGCUGGCGGCAGGCUUAACACAUGCAAGUCGAGCGGGCACUCCGGGGUCAGCGGCAGACGGGUGAGUAACCCGUGGGAACGUACCCUUUGGUUCGGAAUAACGCUGGGAAACUGGCGCUAAUACCGGAUACGCCCUUUUGGGGAAAGGCUUGCUGCCGAAGGAUCGGCCCGCGUCUGAUUAGCUAGUUGGUGGGGUAAUGGCCUACCAAGGCGACGAUCAGUAGCUGGUCUGAGAGGAUGAUCAGCCACACUGGGACUGAGACACGGCCCAGACUCCUACGGGAGGCAGCAGUGGGGAAUAUUGGACAAUGGGCGCAAGCCUGAUCCAGCCAUGCCGCGCGAGUGAUGAAGGCCUUAGGGUUGUAAAGCUCUUUUGUCCGGGACGAUAAUGACGGUACCGGAAGAAUAAGCCCCGGCUAACUUCGUG
Molecule: ribosomal RNA, 433 nt
Filed under: uncultured bacterium
Lineage: Bacteria
Description: partial 16S ribosomal RNA
Rfam family: Bacterial small subunit ribosomal RNA
Source: RNAcentral